Molecule: RNA transcript, 3410 nt
Organism: Medicago truncatula (barrel medic)
Lineage: Eukaryota; Viridiplantae; Streptophyta; Magnoliopsida; Fabales; Fabaceae
Gene name: serine/arginine repetitive matrix protein 1
Exons: 14
Source: RefSeq, a predicted model, not a curated record
UUGUAAAUCUUGCUAUUGAACUAGGGCUGUAAGUUCUGAACCCAACCACACCUUCGCUCGCUGUUAAGUGCAGUCAGUUCAAACUCGAAUUCUUCAGCAUCUGAACCCAAACACCGUUCAGAAUCAGAACCUAUCCAUUUCCAAUCGCUUAUUCAUCUCAAUUCUCCAAUUCAUGACAUAAACGCUUCUCUCGAAUUCGCCAUCGCAAUCUUACCCUCACACUCUUCUCUCCGUUCGGAAUCUCUCGCCGUUAGAAGAUGUCAGGCGGUUUUUUUCGAGGUACAUCUGCGGAUCAGGAUACUCGGUUUUCGAACAAGCAAGCGAAGCUGCUUAAGUCGCAGAAGUUUGCGCCGGAAUUGGAGCAUCUGGUGGACAUGACGAAGGUGAAUAUGGACGUAAUGAGGCCUUGGAUCACUAGAAAAGUGACCGAGCUUCUUGGGUUUGAAGACGAAGUGCUUAUUAACUUCAUACAUGGUCUUCUGGAAGCGAAGAAAGUUAACGGGAAGGAAAUUCAAAUACAAAUUACUGGAUUCAUGGAAAAAAACACCGGCAAGUUCAUGAAGGAGCUUUGGACACUUCUUCUCAGUGCACAGAAAAAUGCCAGUGGUGUUCCUCAGCAGUUCUUGGAUGCUAAAGAAGAAGAACUCCUGAAAAAGAAGGCUGAAAGCGAUAGGAUAACAAGUGAAAUUCAGAGGAAGAAAGAUAAGGAGAGUAAAGAUAUCAUGGAAGAGAGGCUGAAGAAACUGGAUGGUCGUCUAGAUGCAAAGGAUAAUGAUGCUGCUUCAGAUCCAACUUUGAAGUCCAGGGAUUCAGGGCACUACAUUCAGGAUGGAAAACAAACUGACAGGAAUGGUGUUAGAGCAAGGAACAGGAUUUCUCCACAUUCACCUGCAGUUUUCAAUUCACCUUAUCGAGGCUCACCUGCAAGGGCAAUCAGUAAAUCAUUUUCGAAUUCCCGAAGUUAUUCAAGAUCUCCAAAGGGUGGAGGGCGUUCCAUUUCUUCUGAAAGGAUACAGCGGUCUUCACGACGACAAUCUAUUUCUCCUCGAAGACGUUCACCACAAAGAUCUCCUCACAGGAGGCCAUCUUAUUCAAGGAGAAGAUCUAGAUCUAGCUCAUCUUCUCCUAUCCGACGUGGAAUGCAUUCUCCAUUUCGUCGACGCAGAACACCCUCUCCUGUUCAAAGACGCAGAACACCCUCUCCUGUUAGACGGAGAUCGCCCUCUCCAGUUCGACGACGAAGAUCACCCUCUCCAGUACGACGACGCAGAUCACCACCUUCUCCAGUACGACGACGCAGAUCACCACCUUCUCCCGUACGACAACGCAGAUCACCUUAUCCUGCACGGAGACGCAGAUCUCCCUCUCCUGUGCGACGACGCAGAUCACCUUCUCCUAUACGACGACGUAGAUCACCUUCUCCAAUGAACCGACGGAGAUCACCAUCACCUAUUAGACGAAGGUCACCCUCACCACUGCAACAGAGAUCUCCUAGUAUGCGGCGCAGGUCACCUUCACCGAUGCGUCGAAUACCACUAAGCCGUGGACGGAGGUCAAGCUCUCCAAUGCAAUCCCCCGUAAUGCGAAGGUAUGAUAGUAGAACUCCACGGCGCAGGUCUCCAUCUCCUUUGCAGCAUAGGUCACCUGUUUCGGGCAAGAAAAGAUCUGCAAGUGCCUCCCCUAAGAGGUCUCCUUCUCAAGAUGAAUGGAGUUCUCAGUCUCCUGUACGUGUAUCUCCAUCUCCAGUCAGGAGGAGAACUUCACCAAGACACCAAAGAAGUCCUUUGCAGUCUUCUAUGGGAAGAGUCAGGGUGCAAAAAAUAUUGUCACCGGAAGUUUAUCAACCCUCUAGUCCUUUGCGGUCUGUACAGAGAGAUAAAAAUGGCAAAGCUUCAGGCUAUAAAUCACAAGAUUCAAUGUCCACACCAGAUAAGUCUCCAAUCCGAUCAAUAUCACCACCACAAGCAAGAAGUAAGACCAGCAGUAAAAAUAGAAGUCCACAUGAAAUCUCUCUAAGGCAACCAAGAGAUAAAUUGACCAAUAAAGGAAGCUUGAGUCCCCGCUUGAGUCCCCCAAAGAAGCCAACAAACCAUAAACCUACCCAUGACAUCCCAGAGACAAGUGAAGGAGCAGAAGAAGCAUAUUAUUCUAGAGAGCGCAAAGAUCCUAAAUCAAAUUCAUCCGAAAAGAAAUCAAGACACUCCCCAGUUAGUAAGCGAAUAGGUUCAUCUGCAAAAUUUCAUGACGAGGAUGAGUUUUAUCCUGAAAGGGCAGCAAGUCAUCUUGCUUCUGAUACUAAGCAUUAUGAUAAUAAUGAAAGGAAUAAGAAAGGCCAGGAUAUAAAAUGUGAUAAAUCUUCUGGCAAGGGAGGCGAGUCUCCUGGUCAACAGAAGUCACCAAUGAACAAGGAGUUUUUUUCUGGCGAGAAGCUUCGCGAUACUUAUGCUGCAGAAACAAAAAAAACUGAUGACAAGGAUCAAAUCAAUUCAAAAUAUGCCAAAAGUAGUGAUCAGCACCACAAAUCAGAAGGCACUCAAGAUUUAGUUGGAAAAGUUGAUCACGUCAAUCAGAGUGCUUCUUAUGAUUCUGUUUCUGAAGAAAGUGACAAGCAUAGAAGGGAUGGAAAGGAUAGGAGAAAGCAUAAAAGGUCAGAGAGAAAAGUUGUUUCUUCUGAUGAGAAUGAUAGUUAUGAUUCUGAGUUAGAAGACAGGAAAGAGGCCAAGAGGAGGAAAAAGGAGGAGAAGAAGAAGCUGCGAAAGGAGGAGAAGCAUCGAAAGCGGGAAGAGAGACGGCGAAAAAGGGAAGAGCGGCAUGCUGAAAAGCUGAAAAUGAAGAGUAAACCAGGCUAUAUUUCAGACAAUGAGGAAGCUGAACGAAGGGAUGGUCAUCAAAGUGAUGAUGAAGAAGAACCAUACGAUCCAAAGAAGCUUGAGAUUGAGCUGCGUAAUAAGGCUCUCGAGUCCCUCAAAGCAAAGAAGAGCAUGAACAAUUAACUAUUAUACUUCUUUGUUUUAAGUGUUAAAAACUUCAGAAAUAUCUUUAGCUUCUUUGAACAUAUGGUUUUGCAAAUGUUAUGUUAUUUGUUUUUUGGUAAAUGUUUGAUGUUGUCUAUCUUUAAUGCUGGCAGCUGAAUUGGAUAAAUGACGAUUUCUGAGCAAAUCUGUUGAGUACAACUCUAUGCAGACAUUCCUCUAUAUUUACCGAUGAAUUUAUGUCAACUCUAGAUGACCUGGUGAGCAGACCAUGUGCAGAACUAUAUUUUGAACUCCAAAUCAGGUGAAGUUUUGUUUUCUGGAAUUCUCCGAGUUGGUCCAUCUUGAACUUGAUGCAGCUGUAUGUUUUGUACACAUGUGUUGUCCUAUAUGUUCUUUGAUUGUGUUCUAGAAUAUGUAAUUAUAUUAUUUUUAUCA